Molecule: long non-coding RNA, 3805 nt
Filed under: Sus scrofa (pig)
Lineage: Eukaryota; Metazoa; Chordata; Mammalia; Artiodactyla; Suidae
Description: lncRNA (ENSSSCG00035070283.1)
Source: RNAcentral
CGCAGAGUUCUGGAGAAGCAUCCCCGAAAAGGUAUGACCACUGCUUCCGGGUCAGCCAGGGACCAAGGGCAUCUCCCCGCCUCUCAAGGGGGGCUGCCUGAGCACCGAGGCUGCGGUGGGGCUGCCCCCGGCGUGCCCCUGGAUGGCCGGCCCCCAGGACACCCCUGCCACGGGUAGGCCCACGUGGUGCAACACUUGUGUGCGUUGUCCUGCUAUACACGCGCCUCUGGACGUCCACUCUCCCCUCCUCCUCCGCCUCGUCGUGGGCAAGAACCAGGAGGAGUCCUGGGAGCUGCGGCCAUGGUCGGGGCGUGGACGGAGGACGGGAGAGGAGGGCCAGGAGGCAGCUGGGCUGCACCGUCCAUGAUGGGACCUGAGUGUCCCAGGUCCCUGGAUGGCACAUUAGUCACAAUCCACCCACUGACCAUGAUAGGUUGUCAUUAACUGAGGUCUGCGCCCUGCUCAGGGUCCCUCGGGUCUGCCCCCGUGUCCCCCACCCGGGACCCACACAACGUGCACGCGUCCUGUCUCCCUGGGCCCCUCUGGGCUGUGACAGAUCCUCGGGCGUCCCCUGGGUCUGAGGACCUGGCAGCUUUGAGGAGCACGGGUCCGGUCAGGGAGUCUGUCCAACGUCCCGCCCUUGGGACUUGGCCUGGCCUCUGCAGGGAGACGGCAGAGGCCACGUGCCAACCCAACCUGACACCAAAGCUGUCCACGUGCAAAAGCCAGAACGUAAACAAAGGCCCUAAGGGUCAAACCCUGCGGGCUGCCCCUCCCGCUGUGCUUCAAGGAUGCCUGUGACUCAAACGGGGAGGAAGGCUGAGAAUCAGGAGCCCCCCCCCACUACAUCACAGCCACGGCAACGCGGGAUCUGAGCUGCGUCUUCAACCUACACCACCGCUCGUGGCAACGCCGGGUCCCUGACCCACUGGGUGAGGCCAGGGAAUCGAACCCACAUCCUCGUGGAUACUAGUCUCUGACCUGCUGAGACACAACAGCAACUCCCAAAAUCGAAUGAAGCUUAAUCAAAGGAAAGAUGGAUAAUGUUUGAAAUGAAAAAGGGCAGACAACUACAAAUCCCGCAGAGAUUCAAAACGAUACGAAAAAUAGAUCAUUGAAAAGCUCCACGGCUAUAAAAAUGAAAAUUUAGAUGAAAUGGACAAAUGGCUAAGAAAUGAUGCGAAUUAACACGCUGAGAAUUAGAAACCCGGCUGAUGAGCAACUGUUCCAGAUACUAUAACCAGCAGUUGAAAAUCAACCCCCCCAAGAAGACACGAGACCCAAACAGUUGGAGAUGAAUCAAACUUUCAAGGAAUCAAUCAUUCUAGUCUUUUAUGUGCUUUUCCAGAGAAUGAAAAAGUCUCUGACAUCAGAAAAGGAAAAUUACAGGUCAAUACAACUCAAGAACAGAGAGAAAAGCAAUCCUGAAGUACCACCAACCCUCAUCCAGACAGACAGAGAGACAGCGGCCUCCACGACAAGGACGGUACGGAGGCAGUCCAAGAGGUCAAGGCCGUCGGACAGGAAGACUCCUUGGGUAAACGUCGACCCACGGAGAAAGGAAAGGAGGGACCCUUGCAGCCAUCGGGGCAGAUGCAGCCAGUGCUCUCAGCUCCCGCGACACACUCGUCCGUGAACUUGAUCUGAGAGGGACACUGACCAAAACCCACGGCAACCAUCCGUCUUACACCGGAAACGUCAGAAGCCUGCCCUCUCGUGUCUUUGAAGCCCAGCGCUCCUGUCCCCACUCGAGGCUGAGCCGGGACCUGCCACCAGCACAGGUGGACGAGGGAAAUGCGUAAGGUCAUCGCCAGCAAGAGGCGGACCCGUCAUCCCCACCGUUAGCGUCCUUUUUGUCUCACGAAGCCGGAUGCUCGACAGAAAAACUUUUAGAAACGGCACGAUUUGAGGAACGUGAUUGGAUGUUAACAUAGUAGAUAAAUCAACUGCAUUUCCACAUGGUACUAGCAACAGUUGAUUUGAAAAAAAAAGAUUUUGCCUAGAACAAGGGAGGGGGGGACCCCAGAAUCCACCAAAGAAUCAAUCUAAGGUAACGUGUUCAAAGUCCUUAUGGAGAAAAUUACAAAAACCCGUUCAAAGACAAUCAAGAAACUUGAACCAAUGAACAAAUAAGCCUGCAGAAGAAGAUCCAGUCCAGCAACGAGGUCAGCCUCCCCAGGUUCAUCCAGAUUGUCGGUGCAGUUCCAGCCUGGUGCCCACCUUGCUUUUGUAAAGGAACCUGUCCAUUGCGCUCGGUCUGUGGGGUCACAUGGGGGGAGGGCUGGGACACUGGCAGGAGGGGGACAGAGGCGGGGAGCAGAGAAGCGGCAGAGCUUAUGGUAAAGACAAGAAUUUGAUCCCUGCCACGCACCACACGCAAAAACCAAACACGUACAAUGAGAGACGACACUUUAGAAGUUACAGGAGAAAAUACAUGGUUACCUGUAAGCCCCUGAGGUGUGGCAGCGUUUCUGCUGCUCCUCUGUUUUUAAUAAGCAUUAACUACAAAAGAAAGGCUUUUUUUUUUUUCCCGGCUCAGGCAAACUGUAACUCGGGAGGAGCAAUUUUUGCACGUCACCUUUUUGUGUCAGAACAUCUAACCGUCCGCCUGCGUUUUCCAAGGCCGGCUGACUCCAGCGUCUCAGCUAACAUUGCUUCCUUCUUCACUCACGAAGCCUUCACUGAAGUCCAACCCUGGGUCCAGCCCUGCCCCGUAGAAAAUUAAGACUGAGGGAAAGGAGGCAGCACGUCCCCCGGGCGAAGUCUCUGCGGCGUCCUCUGUGUCGCACGGCAGCCUUGCCAAGCUGGUCCCUUCACCCACCCCAGGAACUGGAAAGACUUCGAGGCCACCCAGCCUGACCCCAGGGCAGCUCUGGCCCUGCCACACUCUCAGUGCCCCACUCCGAACAGGGCUGCCCAAAUCCAUGCCAACUGGCUGCGUAAUUAUGCUUCAGAUUCCUCCAAAACCCACCCCGGGGGGGUCGCCCCUUAUUAUUCCAGAGGCGCACCCAUCUUUGGUCACCCCUGUGGCUCAGGGUAAAGUGAAUCAGUGGCCAAAGAGAGCGCGGGGCCCUCGCAGCUGCCGAGACUGUGCUGUUCUCUGAUCAGAACGCCCCAAACAGGAAAAGCUAGCAGGGGUGCCGAGUUUAGACUCCAAACACUGGCCCCAGAAGCAGAAGGUCUAAGGCCACCUUAACGUAAGAGCUCAAAUGCAUCAGCAAUUUUUACUACAUGGAGGGCACUGCUCCUUCUCCACACGGGAGCAGAGUGUCAGACCUCCCUCCUCUCCCGGGAUGCCUGCCCUGACCUCACGCGACUCCAGGGUCAGACGGCGGGACAGCCGGCACCCGGCUGCUGGGACGCACUGCGGCCGCGAUGUGGGGCCACCAGCAGCAAGGACGGGGGGAGGACGACCCACGGGACGGGGGAGCAGCCCUUCCGCUGCCGAAGGGCACGUCCCGAGUGCACAGGGCACGGGCGGUAAAACAGGCGCCGGGAACCUCAGCAUCAACGGAGAGACUGGAGCCACAGGGACAAGGACUCUGCAGAGCAAGCGGGACAGGCAGGAGGGGCUGCAGCAACGGCACAGACCACACACUCACACACAUACACACGUGUGCGCACCCACACCUACACCAUACACACCUACACACACCCCACAUACAUCAUGUCACACACACACUCACACACAUCAUAUAUGUACACAGGUAGACAUACAUUGUAUUACAUAUUAUAUAGACAUACAUGGAUUUUUCUCGUAUUAUCCUCCCUCACAUUCUAUCAUAAGAGGCUGGAUGUAGUUCCC